AGUUUUGUAAAAGUAAAGAGGGACAAAGAGGCAAGCUAGGGAAGAGAUACUGGGACGGAAGAGAACGCCAGGCACACAUUGGUCAAUUUCAGGCGCAUUUAACCUUUACAACAACUCUGUGGAGAGGAGGACAAUCCUCCCGAUUUUGCGAAAGCGGUAGCGAGCUCAGAGACUUUAAAUGAAUUGCCCGAGGUUGCACAA
Long non-coding RNA from Leopardus geoffroyi (Geoffroy's cat), 201 nucleotides. RefSeq lists it as uncharacterized. The transcript has 2 exons. The record is from RefSeq and is a predicted model, not a curated record. Lineage: Eukaryota; Metazoa; Chordata; Mammalia; Carnivora; Felidae.